RNAcentral lists this unclassified non-coding RNA (352 nucleotides) under soil metagenome. RNAcentral describes it as "partial contains 5.8S ribosomal RNA, internal transcribed spacer 2, and large subunit ribosomal RNA". The stretch from base 1 to 120 matches the Rfam family "5.8S ribosomal RNA", at positions 35 to 154 of the family's 154-position model. The record is from RNAcentral.
GAUGAAGAACGCAGUGAAAUGCGAUAAGUAAUGCGAAUUGCAGAAUCCGUGAGUCAUCGAAUCUUUGAACGCACAUUGCGCCCCUUGGUUAUUCCGAAGGGCAUGCCUGUUCGAGCGUCAUUAUCACCCCUCAAGCCCUGGCUUGGUGUUGGACUUUAGUUAUAGCUUUGCCUAUCAACUGGUCUCAAAGAUAGUGACGGCGCCCCAGAGGGAACCGGGUACGAGGAGCUUUUUACUAAGCAUGUAUCUGGGACGACUCUGGGCGACGGUCUUGUUAUACUUUUUACCUAAGUGUUGACCUCGGAUCAGGUAGGAAUACCCGCUGAACUUAAGCAUAUCAAUAAGCGGAGGA